GACGAACGCUGGCGGCGUGCUUAACACAUGCAAGUCGAACGGAAAGGCCCUGCUUUUGUGGGGUGCUCGAGUGGCGAACGGGUGAGUAACACGUGAGUAACCUGCCCUUGACUUUGGGAUAACUUCAGGAAACUGGGGCUAAUACCGGAUAGGAUCUCCUGCUGCAUGGUGGGGGUUGGAAAGUUUCGGCGGUUGGGGAUGGACUCGCGGCUUAUCAGCUUGUUGGUGGGGUAGUGGCUUACCAAGGCUUUGACGGGUAGCCGGCCUGAGAGGGUGACCGGCCACAUUGGGACUGAGAUACGGCCCAGACUCCUACGGUAGGCAGCAGUGGGGAAUAUUGCACAAUGGGCGGAAGCCUGAUGAAGCAACGCCGCGUGCGGGAUGACGGCCUUCGGGUUGUAAACCGCUUUCGCCUGUGACGAAGCGUGAGUGACGGUAAUGGGUAAAGAAGCACCGGCUAACUACGUG
RNAcentral lists this ribosomal RNA (468 nucleotides) under uncultured bacterium. RNAcentral describes it as "partial 16S ribosomal RNA". It matches the Rfam family "Bacterial small subunit ribosomal RNA", at positions 28 to 507 of the family's 1533-position model. The record is from RNAcentral.